This 377-nucleotide ribosomal RNA is filed under the name uncultured bacterium. RNAcentral's name for it is "bacterial SSU rRNA". It matches the Rfam family "Bacterial small subunit ribosomal RNA", at positions 523 to 898 of the family's 1533-position model. The record is from RNAcentral.
AUACGUAGGGGGCGAGCGUUGUCCGGAAUUACUGGGUGUAAAGGGCGUGUAGGCGGGGUAUCAAGUUAUUGGUAAAAACCCAGGGCUCAACUCUGGGCUUGCCGAUAAAACUGAUAUUCUUGAGUGCAGGAGAGGGAAGUGGAAUUUCCGGAGUAGCGGUGAAAUGCGUAGAUACCGGGAGGAACACCAGUGGCGAAGGCGGCUUCCUGGCCUGUAACUGACGCUGAGGCGCGAAAGCUGGGGGAGCGAACGGGAUUAGAUACCCCGGUAGUCCCAGCCGUAAACGAUGGUCACUAGGUGUGGGUGGUGGUCAAGCCAUCCGUGCCGGAGCUAACGCAAUAAGUGACCCACCUGGGGAGUACGGCCGCAAGGUUGAA